UAGUCCACGCUGUAAACGAUGAGUGCAAGGUGUUGGGGGUCAAACCUCGGUGCCGCCGUUAACACAGUAAGCACUCCGCCUGGGGAGUACGUACGCAAGUAUGAAACUCAAAGGAAUUGACGGGGACCCGCACAAGUAGCGGAGCAUGUGGUUUAAUUCGAUGCAACGCGAAAAACCUUACCAGGGCUUGACAUAAAAGUGACGAGGGAUAGAGAUAUACCUUUUCCCUUCGGAGACAGUUUUAC
This 245-nucleotide ribosomal RNA is filed under the name uncultured bacterium. RNAcentral describes it as "partial 16S ribosomal RNA". It matches the Rfam family "Bacterial small subunit ribosomal RNA", at positions 791 to 1035 of the family's 1533-position model. The record is from RNAcentral.